CCUACGGGGGGCAGCAGUGAGGAAUAUUGGUCAAUGGGCGGAAGCCUGAACCAGCCAAGUAGCGUGCAGGAUGACGGCCCUACGGGUUGUAAACUGCUUGUAUACGGGAAGAACGCGCCGUACGUGUAGGGCUUUGCAUGUACCGUAUGAAUAAGGACCGGCUAAUUCCGUGCCAGCAGCCGCGGUAAUACGGAAGGUCCGGGCGUUAUCCGGAUUUAUUGGGUUUAACGGGAGCGUAGGCCGCAUGUCAAGCGUGCGGUGAAAUGUCCGGGCUCAACCCGGGCCUUGCAGCUCGAACUGGCGUGCUUGAGUCCGCGGCAAGCAGGCGGCAUUCGUCGUGUAGCGGU
Molecule: ribosomal RNA, 347 nt
Filed under: uncultured bacterium
Lineage: Bacteria
Description: partial 16S ribosomal RNA
Rfam family: Bacterial small subunit ribosomal RNA
Source: RNAcentral